Molecule: ribosomal RNA, 479 nt
Filed under: uncultured bacterium
Lineage: Bacteria
Description: partial 16S ribosomal RNA
Rfam family: Bacterial small subunit ribosomal RNA
Source: RNAcentral
GAUGAACGCUGGCGGCGUGCUUAACACAUGCAAGUCGAACGAAGCACUUUAACCUGAUUCUUCGGAUGAAGGUUUUUGUGCCUGAGUGGCGGACGGGUGAGUAACGCGUGGGUAACCUGCCUCAUACAGGGGGAUAACAGUUAGAAAUGACUGUUAAUACCGCAUAAGACCACAGAGCCGCAUGGCUCGGUGGGAAAAACUCCGGUGGUAUGAGAUGGACCCGAGUCUGAUUAGGUAGUUGGUGGGGUAACGGCCUACCAAGCCAAGGAUCAGUAGCCGACCUGAGAGGGUGACCGGCCACAUUGGGACUGAGACACGGCCCAAACUCCUACGGGAGGCAGCAGUGGGGAAUAUUGCACAAUGGGGGAAACCCUGAUGCAGCGACGCCGCGUGAGCGAAGAAGUAUUUCGGUAUGUAAAGCUCUAUCAGCAGGGAAGAAAAUGACGGUACCUGACUAAGAAGCACCGGCUAAAUACGUG